CGUACAGACUGGUCACCGCCAUGGAGUUUGACUUGGCUGCUGGUACGCUCCCCGGGAGUGGUGGAUUUGCGGUGCAAGGGGCCGGACUCAAAGCCUGGGAUUCCUACAGAAGGGACGUCCCGUCGCCUACACAACUCAUUUAACUCCCCUCUUCUCUGCAGCCCUGGGCCCUGGUUCUAAGAAGCCAGAGGGGGCUGGUCAAGUGGGAGACCCCAAACACUGUCCUCUAAAGGCGCCGGGCCGGCCAGAGGCAGGCGCUGCUCACAAGCCGAGGCAUGGCCCUGGCGGCUCCUCCGACUCCAGCAGUAGUAGCAGCAGCAGCAGCUCCAGCGACUCAGAGGCAGAGGGGAAGGCGCACGCCGCUGGCUGCAAGAAGCAUGAACGCUCCUCAGACAAGGCCAAGAAACCCAAAGUGAAGAAGGAGAGGAAAAAGAAAGAGAAGACUCCCCAUUAACUUAUUAAACUUGCAGCCCUUUCCGCUCCCCGGCGCCCUCUGCCGGGCAGGAGCGGAGGCCGCGCCGAGCCC
Molecule: long non-coding RNA, 526 nt
Filed under: Rattus norvegicus (Norway rat)
Lineage: Eukaryota; Metazoa; Chordata; Mammalia; Rodentia; Muridae
Description: long non-coding RNA NONRATT002476
Source: RNAcentral